GAUGAACGCUGGCGGCGUGCUUAACACAUGCAAGUCGAACGGAAAGGCUCCUGCUUGGAGGGGUGCUCGAGUGGCGAACGGGUGAGUAACACGUGGGUGAUCUGCCCUGGACUUCGGGAUAAGCCUGGGAAACUGGGUCUAAUACCGGAUAGGACCAUGGUUUGGAUGCCAUUGUGUGGAGUUUUUCGGUGUGGGAUGAGCUCGCGGCCUAUCAUCUGGUUGUGGGGGGAGGGGCCUACCAAGGCGGCGACGGGAGGCCGGCCUGAGAGGGGGUACGGCCACAUGGGGCUGGAGAGCGGGCCCAGCGUCAGACGGGGGGCAGAGGGGGGGAAUAUUGAGCAAGGGGCGCAGGCCGGAGGCAGAGACGCCGGGGGGGGGAGGACGGCUUUCGGGUUGUAAACUCCUUUCGCUAGGGACGAAGCGCAAGGGACGGUACCGGGAGAAGAAGCACCGGCUAACUACGU
This 464-nucleotide ribosomal RNA is filed under the name uncultured bacterium. RNAcentral's name for it is "partial 16S ribosomal RNA". It matches the Rfam family "Bacterial small subunit ribosomal RNA", at positions 28 to 506 of the family's 1533-position model. The record is from RNAcentral.